AUUUCCAACACUUGGACAUAACACAAUUUUCUCAGUCUUCUUCUCUCCUGGAAAUCGAAAGUCCAUGGCUCCAUGCCAACCUCGGAUCCCACUCAAAAGUAAAUCUACUAUCCAUUCAAACUAUCGAAGCUCCCAGCUCCUCGCCCAAGCCAGAUCCGCCGCCUCCAAGUCCUCCCUUGCCAAGUGAAGGAAAAUGCUUAAAGGUUGCAUCUUGUGCAGGUUUAGCUUUGAAGUUUUAGAGAGUGAGUAGUGAGUGACCCAUUUGGUGGUUUUUCGAAUUGGAAUGAUGAAGACGGAGAUAUUGACCCUUACUCUUGGUUUGGGGUUGAAUGGUUAGAUGGAAAAAAUUGUGGUCUUGCAAGUACUCUCUUUGUUUCUUCUUUCAUUUAAUAAUUUCAUUGGGGUUGAUCAAAAUUGUGUCUUGGUUGGAAGAUUCAAAUCAGCCCACCAUCAAAGUGUGAGCUCAGCAAGACAGUAAGCUUGUAUGUAUAAUUUUAUCAUUGAUCUUCCUGAUGAGUGUUAUUGUGAGACCUAUAUGUGUUAAAAUUUAUGUCCAUGUGUUCAAAGUUGUUAUGGAAUACACUUUUGACCAUUAGUUAGCUUUGGUAACUCCAUUAGAAUGCUUAUAACUGAAAUAGAUUAAGGUUCAAAUAUUGCACACCAUGUGUUUGAUAGUAUGCCUCAAAGACAACCACCAAGCUGAACUAGUGGGUUAUUUUGUUGUUUUCGAAAAACCUAUACUUCUUCUUUUAAUCUCAGUUUUUGUCACCUUAAAAUAGAUUCUUCAAUGAUUGUUUUAAACUUGGUUUCACUCAAAAUAAACUUGAAAUGAGAUACUUAUGAUAUUUUGAAGUUAACACAGUGUUUCAGGAUUGGAUCUCUGUUUGACCAUUCAUUUGAACUCCGAAUAACUUGAAAUUUUGUGAAAUUGUGGCUUUACAUUUCUAGUUCAAAUCUGGAGAGUUGUGCUUGAAAGCACUACAAGGAUGAUUGUUGGUGAAUUUUUCUUUUUUGCUACAAGUUUUAUGAAAAUUUCUGAAACUUGCAGCAAUCUUGUUACAAAACAAAUUAUGUUAGAAACUAUUACACUUUUCUCAGUCCUCAGUCUUUAGCAUGUUAAAUUAUACAUGUAAAGCAUGCUUUGAAAGUUAAACUUUAGUCCAAGAGGCUUACUUAACCUUAUUGAAAGUUUUUCAUGUUUUCAUCUGAUAUAUUUAUUUAGAAACACUAAAUUAUCCUGCUUUAUCUAAUGUUGCUUUUUAUCAUUGUGAGGAACCUUGCUAAUACUGAACAUUCCUAUCAUGGGAGACUGCUGGGAGCAAAAUCCCCAAUGUGAGGUUCUUGCUGAGAUAUGGAAGGGAAUAUAACAAGCUUUAGAAGCUAAUUGCAUUUGUGAAAGUCACUCAGUAGCCACAUGCUCCUUCAGGUUGAUCUACCUGUUUUCAAAUUGUUUGUGCUGCCAAGGAUAUUGAAAGCCUGGAUGAAGUGAAGAGAGGUUCAAGGAAGAGUAGUUGUUCGCCUUUAGUAAUAUUGUUCUCAUUUUAUUCUUGUGUUUUAAUGAAUGGAUGAUUAAGAAAUACUACAUUUAUAGUACAUUUGAUGCUUUAAUGUAUGGAUUAGAGUACUUCAUUGAUGA
Rosa chinensis is the source of this 1636-nucleotide long non-coding RNA. RefSeq lists it as uncharacterized. NCBI's taxonomy places the organism in Eukaryota, Viridiplantae, Streptophyta, Magnoliopsida, Rosales, Rosaceae. The transcript is spliced from 3 exons. The record is from RefSeq and is a predicted model, not a curated record.